RNAcentral lists this ribosomal RNA (253 nucleotides) under uncultured bacterium. RNAcentral's name for it is "partial 16S ribosomal RNA". It matches the Rfam family "Bacterial small subunit ribosomal RNA", at positions 524 to 776 of the family's 1533-position model. The record is from RNAcentral.
UACAGAGGGUGCGAGCGUUAAUCGGAAUUACUGGGCGUAAAGGGUGCGUAGGUAGUUGUGUAAGUUGUGUGUGAAAGCCCUGGGCUUAACCUGGGAACGGCAUAUGAUACUGUACAACUAGAGUCAAGUAGAGGGUAGUGGAAUUUCCGGUGUAGCGGUGAAAUGCGUAGAUAUCGGAAGGAACACCGGUGGCGAAGGCGGCUACCUGGACUUAGACUGACACUGAGGCACGAAAGCGUGGGUAGCAAACAGG